Molecule: long non-coding RNA, 6204 nt
Organism: Pongo pygmaeus (Bornean orangutan)
Lineage: Eukaryota; Metazoa; Chordata; Mammalia; Primates; Hominidae
Exons: 2
Source: RefSeq, a predicted model, not a curated record
AUAAACAGCCCGCUGCCCCAGUGAGAAGAGCAACAAACAGAAUAAUUAAAAAAACAACCAACUGACAAAUCUGAACAAGCCGCUUUGGUGGUGAGGACCCGAUUAAUUACACUCGUCCACACCCAAGCUUGGCAGAAGGGGGUGCCCUGGGAAUGUCUGCAGAAGCCAACCCCGUGCCUGAGGGGUCAGGGGUUAGGGUUGACAGCCCUUCCCUGAAGCUGGAUGAGACCCAGCCCGGGAGUAACUCCAGCCUGAAAGAGAACUAAUUGAGGAAGCUUCUUCUAAAGGAGGCCAAGGUGGGCGCAUUACCUGAGGUCGGGAGUUUGAGACCAGCCUGACCAACAUGGAGAAACCCCAUCUCUACUAAAAAGACAAAAUUAGCCAGGUGUGGUGGUGCAUGCCUGUAAUCCCAGCUACUUGGGAGCCUGAGACAGGAGAAUCACUUGAACCCGGGAGGCAGAGGUUGUGGUGAGCCGAGAUCGUGCCAUUGGAUUCCAGCCUGGGCAACAAGAGCGAAACUGUGCCAAAACAAACAAACAAACAAAAAAAAAAACAUGACCUUUGCUUUCUUCUGGUGUACUCUCCCUUAAUACAGCUUUACUCAUCUUUUCAUUUUCAAUAUUCUGUUCUAAUUGUGUUUCAGAUAGAGAGAAUUAUGUUUUGCCUUACGAUUUAACUUAAAAAUGUUUUUCUCUUAGUUGGGAUGCUAACCCAAUUUGUAUUCAUAGAUGUGACUAAGGUAUAUUUAGUCUUAGAUCUGUUAUAUUGUUUUCCAUUUUUUUAAAAUUUGUCUGUUUGCUUUUGCUUUGUUUUUUAUAUGUAGUUCUUCUGAUAUUUAGAAAGAUUAGUAUAUUUAGAAAGAUUAGUAUAUUAGUAUAUUUAGAAAAAUUAGUAUAUUUUUCCUAGUAGACAACUUUAUAAUGAUAACUUUAUUUUGUAAUUUAGUUUUUAUUUUUAUUUUUAUUUAUUUAUUUUUGAGAUAGAGUCUUGCUCUGUUACCCAGGCUGGAGUGCAGUGGCGUGAUCUUGGCUCACUGCAGCCUGCCUCCCAGGUUCAAGUAAUUCUCCGGCCUCAGCCUCCCAAGUAGCUGGGACUACAGCCACAUGCCACCAUGCCCAGCUAAUCUUUUGUAUUUUUGGUAGAGAUGGGGUUUCACCGUGUUAGCCAGGAUGGUCUUGAUCUGCUGACCUUGUGAUCCGCCUGCCUCAACCUCCCAAAGUGCUGGGAUUACAGGAGUGAGCCACCAAGCCCGGUCCUUACUUAUUUAUUUUUUUAGAUGGAAUCUCACUCUAUUGCCCAGGCUGGAGUACAGUGGCACAAUCUCGGCUCAUUGCAACCUCCACCUCCUGGGUCCAAGCAAUUCUCCCACCUCAGCCUCCUGAGAAGCUGGGACUACAGGCGUGUGCCACCAUGCCUGGCUAAUUUUUGUAUUUUCCACUAGAGACUGGGUUUCACUAUGUUGGCCAGGCUGGUCUCAAACUCCUGACCUCAAGUGAUCCACCCACCUCGGCAUCCCAAAGUGCUGGGAUUAUAGGCGUGAACCACUGCUCCCGGCUAUAAUGAUAAUUUUUUUUUUUUUUUUUGAGACAGAGUUUCACUCUUGUUGCCCAGGCUGGAGUGCAAUGGCACAAUAUCAGCUCACCCCCACUUCUGCCUCACAGGUUCAAGCGAUUCUCCUGUCUCAGCCUCCCGAAUAGCUGGGAUUACAGGCAGGCACCACCACACCUGGCUAAUUUUGUAUUUUUAGUAGAGACGGGGUUUCUCCAUGUUGGUCAGGCUGGUCUCGAACUCUCGACCUUAGGUGAUCUGCCCACCUCGGCCUCCCAAAGCGCUGGGAUUACAGGCAUGAGCCACCAUGCCUGGCCAUCCUUUGUUCUUUUAAUAUGUUUACAGUUUUGUUACUUGAGCUGUCAAUUUUAGUAUCAGUCAGGAUCUAGAAAAACAGAAACUACACUAAAACAUUUAAAACUUCAGGUUUUAAAGACUUUAGGCCGGGCGCGGUGGCUCAUGCCUGUAAUCCCAGCAUUUUGGGAGGCUGAGGUGGGUGGAUCACCUGAGGUCAGGAGUUCAAGACCAGCCUGGGCAAUAUGGCGAAACCCCGUCUCUACAAAAAUACAAAAAAAAAAAAAAAAAAAAAUUAGCUGGGUGUGGUGGCAUGCGCCCGUAGUCCCAGCUACUCAGGGGGCUGAGGCAGGAGAAUCGCUUGAACCUAGGAUGCGGAGGUUGCAGAGAGCUGAGAUCGCGCCAUUGCACUCCAGCCUGGGUAACAGAACAAGAUGCCGUCUCAAAAAAAAAAAAAAAGAAAGAAAGAAAAGAAAAAGCAACAACAACAAAAAACUAAUGAUUGACUUUAAUUCAGGAAAUUGGUUAUAUGGGUGGUAGAAGAAUCAAGAAGCCAAAUGAGACUGGGUAGGAACCCACAGAUUAGUGACACCAGAAAGCCAUGACUUCCUCUAGGUGGGUGGGAGGAGGUGGUGUGACUGUUUGGGGACAGGGGUUACCUGGUAGUAGCUGUGACCUAAGAAAAAUGUGUGGGCCGGGUGCGGUGGCUCACGCCUGUAAUCCCAACACUUUGGGAGGCUGAGGUGGGCAGAUGGCCUGAGGUCAGGAGUUUGAGACGAGCCUGGCCAACACGAUGAAACCCGGUGUCUACUAAAAAUACAAAAUUAGUGAAACUCUGUCUCAAAAGAAAAGAAAAGAAAAAUGUUGUGGGAUAGGAGCUUUAGCCCCAGAGGCAAUGCAGCUGCUACUGGCAAUGUUGCCCAAGCUUCUCUCCUUCCUGUCACUUUCCAGUUGUCCUCUUGUUUCUUGACAUGGCUGACCCAGAAAAAAGUCAGGAGACACAGGAGCUGUGAAACACAGCUUGCAGGGCCCAGCCUUCUCGUGACACUGAUCAGAGCAGCAAAGGGGUGAGGACUGGAUCUGAGGGCAAGGGGGCCAAGGACCAGGUUUAAACGGUACCCUUUGACGACCAGUUUCUACUUUUUUUUUUUUUUUUUGAGACAGAGUCUUGCUCUGUCGCCAGGCUGGAGUGAAGUGGCGCGAUCUCAGCUCACUGCAACUUCCACCUCCCAGGUUCAAGCAGUUCUCCUGCCUCAGCCUCCUAAGUAGCUGCGACUACAGGUGCACGCCACCAUGCCCAGCUAAUUUUUGUAUUUUUAGUAGAGAUGGCGUUUCACCAUGUUGGCCAGGAUGGUCUUGAUCUCUUGACCUCGUGAUCCAUCCAGCUUGGCCUCCCAAAGUGCUGGGAUUACUGGCGUGAGCGACCGCGCCCAGCUGACCAGUUACUACUGAUGACAUGUUCAUGAGCUUAUCCUCCUUCUUACCUCAUUUCCCCACUCACUGUUUGUGUCGGUAGCAUCAUUUCUGCAUUGUCAAGCAUAUGCCAUUUGCAGUCUGUUCUGUCACCCUCCUCCCACCCCAUCUGUUUUAGUCUUAGUUCCGUGGCUCUGGAUAUUCAAGACCCACUCAGAGUAUCUUGCCCUCAUUACUCCAAUUAUUUCUUAUUCAGCUAGAAUAGACACUCUAGUAGUGUCCUUAAGGAUGACGCAAGGAUCAAUAUACUCUGCAUCUUGGCCGGGUGUGGUGGCGCACACCUAUAGUCCCAGCUACUCGGGUAGUUGAGGCAGGAGAAUCGCUUGAACCCGGGCUGGGGGGGGCGAGGGGGGUGCCAGAGGUUGCAGUGAGCCAGGAUCGCACCACUGCACUCUAGCCUGGGUGACAGAGUGAGUGACAGACACUGUCCCAAAAACAAAACAAACUAAACAAAACAAAACAAAAAACUGUAUCUCUAGACUCACACUUAAGGACAGUUAGGCUCAACAGGCCACUCUUGUCCCUUUCUUUCCUUAAAUAUCUUGUGAGUGUUGUUCUACUGUUUAAUAUGGGUUAAAAUAGUGCACAAAGGAAUCCAAGGCCAGCCUGAGUUUUCCCCUUUUGUAAAUAACUAGAUUUUUGUGUGCUGGGCUGCCCAAAAAAGCCUAUCAUUUCAUUAAAAGUUCAAUAACUUUUCUAGAAUAUUUAUCUAUGACUAUUUGGGGUCAAUUUUCUUUUUUUGUAUGUGUGACAGGGUCUUGCUCUGUUGCCCAGGCUGGAGGGCAAUGGCAUGAUCAUGGCUCACUGCAGCCUCAAACUCGUGGGCUCAAGCGAUCCUCCCACCUCAGCCUCCCAAAGUGUUGGGAUUACAGGCGUGAGUAACCACGCCCGGCCUGGGUAAUUCUGAUUGACUUAUCUUGCAUUUCAUUUAGUCUUUCCUCUGAGGAGAUUUUCUAUUUGCUAAGACAACAUGUGUUUUUUACUUCACUGACAGUAGCUACAAUAUCUACUUUAAAAUCCUGUCUGUGAGUUUCAACUGGGUUCAAAUUGGGAUGUGGCUUGAUUGAUUCUCUUUUUUCUUGAGAAUGAAUUCCAUUUUCUCAUUUCUUUUUCUUUUUUUUUCUUUUUUUUGAGACAGAGUCUUGCUCUGUCACCCAGGCUGGAGUGCAGUGGCACGAUCUCAGCUCACUGCAACCUCCGCCUCCCAGGUUCAAGGAUUCUCCUGCCUCAGCCACCUGAGUAGCUGAGACUACAGACACACGCCACCACGCCCAGCUAAUUUUGUAUUUUUAGUAGAGAUGGGGUUUCACCAUGUUGGCCAGGCUGGUCUCAAACUCCUGACCUCAGGUGAUCCACCCGCCUCGCCCUCCCAAAGUGCUGGGAUUACAGGUGUGAGCCACUGCACCCGGCCAAAUUCCAUGUUCUUGAUUCUUCAUGUGACAGGUAAUUUUGGAUUGAUCCUGGAAUUCAAAUAUUAAAUUGCGGAAAUUCUGGAUUCUGUUACUUUUCUCCAAUGCGUGUUUUUCGCCCUUUGUGUUAGCAGGAAAUUUUAGCGUGAAGAGUGUCUCUUGGAUGGUAGCUGUGUUCUCAGUUUAGAUUUAAUUUCCUGAGCUGGGCUGCUUUAAGCCUGUUUCACAUAUGUGUGCCUCUGGGGUCUGUCAGAGAUAUAAUUUGAGCAUCCCAUUUCUAAAUGUUUCCCUCUGGGACCCUGUCAUUCUCUUCAGCAUUCAUGGUUUUCUGGCUUCAUUUUUCUUGCUCCCCAUGCCAGAAAGCCUGUGGAUUUGCCAUGUCUACUGGCCUUCAUGCUACAUGGACUGCCCACGGCCACAGGCAAAAAGCCACAGAGAUGGGAUUUGCUUGUCUGGCUCUCUCCCUGCAUGCACCAGCACUCCAGCUGCUCUCCUCACCCGCCACCGUUACCUUCCGUUCGUGCUCCAGGACUUUCCCGUCGUUGCUUUUCAUGUCAUUUUCGGGUUUGAUCAUUGUUUUCUAUGAGGGAGGUGUCUAUAUUCCAGUCCAAUAUACCCAGGGCAAAAUCUAGACUGAAGUUUUGAUAUCAGAAUAGACAUGAUUAGACUUUUAGCACCUGAAAAAGAGACUUCUUGUUAUUACCUGAAAGUCACUGAAUAUAACAUUGUUUCUCUGAGUGGGGAGGAAAACUUCAAAUAGUGUGUAUUUGAAAAAAAAAGGGCAAUGGCUGGGCGCAGUGGCUCAUGCCUAUAAUCCCAGCACUUUGGGAGGCUGAGGCAGGUGGAUGGCUUGAGUCCAGGAGUUCGAGACCAGCCUGGCCAACAUAGUAAAACCCCAUCUCCACUAAAAAUACAAAAAUUAGCCAGCCUUGGUGGUGCACGCCUGUAAUCCCAGCUACUCGGGAGGCUGAGGCAGGAGAAUCGCUUGAACCUGGGAGGCAGAGGUUGCAGUGAGCCUGGAUUGCAUCACUGCACUCCAGCCUAGGUGACAGAGCGAGACUCUGUCUCAAAAAAAUAAAAUAAAAUAAAUAAAAAAUAGAAAAGGUUCUCUAUGUCAACUUAUUAAUUAUACUGGGUGCAAGUGGAGAAAAGCAUUUAUUUAUUUUCCACUCCACACACACAUUGCUUUUCAAUACCCCCAAUCUUAUCAAUAGGGUUGCAGCACAGUUUUUGUUUAAUUAAUUUUAAUUGUUUGCAUUUUAUGAUCUGUAUAGUAUUCUUCAUAACAGAGCCAUUGAGUAUACUAUGAAUACAUUUUUUGUCUUGUUCUAUUCCCCCCUAGAGAUAGUAAUUGAUUUGAACUUCUUUGUUUCUACAUUUGAGUUUUUGUUCACUUGGUUUCACAUUUGCCUAUUAUGCCACCUUCUAACUUUCUCAACACAGCACAAUAAGUCCCUUAAUAAAUUCAGAAUCAUUGUUA